CCUACGUGAGGCUGCAGUGGGGAAUAUUGGACAAUGGGGGGAACCCUGAUCCAGCCAUGCCGCGUGUGUGAAGAAGGCCCUCGGGUUGUAAAGCACUUUCAGUGAGGAAGAACGCCUGGUGGUUAAUACCCAUCAGGAAAGACAUCACUCACAGAAGAAGCACCGGCUAACUCCGUGCCAGCAGCCGCGGUAAUACGGAGGGUGCGAGCGUUAAUCGGAAUUACUGGGCGUAAAGCGCGCGUAGGUGGCUUGAUAAGCCGGUUGUGAAAGCCCCGGGCUCAACCUGGGAACGGCAUCCGGAACUGUCAAGCUAGAGUGCAGGAGAGGAAGGUAGAAUUCCCGGUGUAGCGGUGAAAUGCGUAGAGAUCGGGAGGAAUACCAGUGGCGAAGGCGGCCUUCUGGACUGACACUGACACUGAGGUGCGAAAGCGUGGGUAGCAAACAGGAUUAGAUACCCCGGUAGUC
Molecule: ribosomal RNA, 465 nt
Filed under: Vreelandella stevensii
Lineage: Bacteria; Pseudomonadati; Pseudomonadota; Gammaproteobacteria; Oceanospirillales; Halomonadaceae
Description: partial 16S ribosomal RNA
Rfam family: Bacterial small subunit ribosomal RNA
Source: RNAcentral